RNAcentral lists this ribosomal RNA (495 nucleotides) under uncultured bacterium. RNAcentral's name for it is "partial 16S ribosomal RNA". It matches the Rfam family "Bacterial small subunit ribosomal RNA", at positions 29 to 506 of the family's 1533-position model. The record is from RNAcentral.
AUGCACGCUGGCGGCGUGCCUCAUACAUGCCAGUCGCGCGAACAGACGAGGAGCUUGCUCCUCUGACGUUAGCGGCGGACGGGUGAGUAACACGUGGAUAACCUACCUAUAAGACUGGGAUAACUUCGGGAAACCGGAGCUAAUACCGGAUAAUAUAUUGAACCGCAUGGUUCAAUAGUGAAGGACGGUUUUGCUGUCACUUAUAGAUGGAUCCGCGCCGCAUUAGCUAGUUGGUAAGGUAACGGCUUACCAAGGCAACGAUGCGUAGCCGACCUGAGAGGGUGAUCGGCCACACUGGAACUGAGACACGGUCCAGACUCCUACGGGAGGCAGCAGUAGGGAAUCUUCCGCAAUGGGCGAAAGCUUGACGGAGCAACGCCGCGUGAGUGAUGAAGGUCUUCGGAUCGUAAAACUCUGUUAUUAGGGAAGAACAAAUGUGUAAGUAACUAUGCACGUCUUGACGGUACCUAAUCAGAAAGCCACGGCUAACUACGU